GCAGCCGUAGUCUAACGGAUAGAACGAUGGCCUCCGACGCCAUUAAUGUGGGUUCGAUUCCCGCCGGCUGCA
Molecule: transfer RNA, 72 nt
Filed under: Lachnospiraceae bacterium
Lineage: Bacteria; Bacillati; Bacillota; Clostridia; Lachnospirales; Lachnospiraceae
Description: tRNA-Arg
Rfam family: tRNA
About the family: Transfer RNA (tRNA) molecules are approximately 80 nucleotides in length.
Source: RNAcentral